GCACUGGUAGUUAUGUGGUAGAACUCUCGCUUUCCACGUGGGAAACCUGGGUUCGAUUCCUGGCUGAUGCA
RNAcentral lists this transfer RNA (71 nucleotides) under Loxodonta africana (African savanna elephant). It matches the Rfam family "tRNA". From Rfam's summary of the family: Transfer RNA (tRNA) molecules are approximately 80 nucleotides in length. The record is from Rfam by way of RNAcentral. Lineage: Eukaryota; Metazoa; Chordata; Mammalia; Proboscidea; Elephantidae.